GUAGGUGGCAAGCGUUGUCCGGGAAUUAUUGGGGCGUAAAGCGCGCGCAGGCGGUUUUUUAAGUCUGAUGUGAAAGCCCACGGGCUCAACCGUGGAGGGUCAUUGGAAACUGGAGAACUUGAGUACAGAAGAGGAAAGCGGAAUUCCACGUGUAGCGGUGAAAUGCGCAGAGAUGUGGAGGAACACCAGUGGCGAAGGCGGCUUUCUGGUCUGUAACUGACGCUGAGGCGCGAAAGCGUGGGGAGCAAACAGGAUUAGAUACCCUGGUAGUCCACGCCGUAAACGAUGAGUGCUAAGUGUUAGGGGGUUUCCGCCCCUUAGUGCUGCAGCUAACGCAUUAAGCACUCCGCCUGGGGAGUACGGCCGCAAAGGCUG
Molecule: ribosomal RNA, 375 nt
Filed under: uncultured organism
Description: partial 16S ribosomal RNA
Rfam family: Bacterial small subunit ribosomal RNA
Source: RNAcentral